Molecule: ribosomal RNA, 581 nt
Filed under: uncultured bacterium
Lineage: Bacteria
Description: bacterial SSU rRNA
Rfam family: Bacterial small subunit ribosomal RNA
Source: RNAcentral
GGUCCCCCACAUUGGAACUGAGACACGGUCCAAACUCCUACGGGAGGCAGCAGUGAGGAAUAUUGGUCAAUGGGCGAGAGCCUGAACCAGCCAAGUAGCGUGCAGGAUGACGGCCCUAUGGGUUGUAAACUGCUUUUAUAAGGGAAUAAAGUGAGCCUCGUGAGGCUUUUUGCAUGUACCUUAUGAAUAAGGACCGGCUAAUUCCGUGCCAGCAGCCGCGGUAAUACGGAAGGUCCGGGCGUUAUCCGGAUUUAUUGGGUUUAAAGGGAGCGUAGGCCGGAGAUUAAGCGUGUUGUGAAAUGUAGACGCUCAACGUCUGCACUGCAGCGCGAACUGGUUUCCUUGAGUACGCACAAAGUGGGCGGAAUUCGUGGUGUAGCGGUGAAAUGCUUAGAUAUCACGAAGAACUCCGAUUGCGAAGGCAGCUCACUGGAGCGCAACUGACGCUGAAGCUCGAAAGUGCGGGUAUCGAACAGGAUUAGAUACCCUGGUAGUCCGCACGGUAAACGAUGGAUGCCCGCUGUUGGUCUGAAUAGGUCAGCGGCCAAGCGAAAGCAUUAAGCAUCCCACCUGGGGAGUAC